UACAGAGGUCUCAAGCGUUGUUCGGAUUCAUUGGGCGUAAAGGGGUGCGUAGGCGGCGCGGUAAGUCGGGUGUGAAAUCUCGGGGCUUAACUCCGAAACUGCAUUCGAUACUGCCGUGCUUGAGGACUGGAGAGGAGACUGGAAUUUACGGUGUAGCGGUGAAAUGCGUAGAUAUCGUAAGGAAGACCAGUGGCGAAGGCGGGUCUCUGGACAGUUCCUGACGCUGAGGCACGAAGGCCAGGGGAGCAAACGGG
RNAcentral lists this ribosomal RNA (254 nucleotides) under uncultured bacterium. RNAcentral describes it as "partial 16S ribosomal RNA". It matches the Rfam family "Bacterial small subunit ribosomal RNA", at positions 524 to 776 of the family's 1533-position model. The record is from RNAcentral.